This is a non-coding RNA of Stegodyphus mimosarum, 73 nucleotides long. Lineage: Eukaryota; Metazoa; Arthropoda; Arachnida; Araneae; Eresidae. The record is from Rfam.
GCCUUCGUGGUGUAGUGGUCAGCACGCUCGACGCGUAACCGAGAGGUCCGUGGUUCGAUUCCCGGCAAAGGCG